Molecule: ribosomal RNA, 451 nt
Filed under: uncultured eukaryote
Lineage: Eukaryota
Description: bacterial SSU rRNA
Rfam family: Eukaryotic small subunit ribosomal RNA
Source: RNAcentral
GGCCAUUACUUCUAAGGAAGGCAGCAGGCGCGUUAAAAUUACCCCAAUCCUAAUACGGGGGAGGUAGUGACAAGAAAUAUUGAUAUUGGACCCAAAGGGUACAAUGAUUGAAAUGAGAACAAUAUAAAAAACUUAACGACUAACAAUUGGAGGGCAAGUCUGGUGCCAGCAGCCGCGGUAAUUCCAGCUCCAAGAGUGUAUAUUAAAGUUGUUGACGGUUAAAAAGCUCGUAGUUGAAUUUCUAGAAAAUAAUCUUGUGAUUGAUUUAACCGUCAUGAAACAAAAAUUGUUUACAUACUUGAUAGAUGGAAACAUUUAUCUUAAUGACUUUGAAAAAAUUAGAGUGUUCAAAGCAUGAUUCACAUUUGAAUAAUACAGCAUGGGAUAAUAUAAUAUGACAUUAGUUAAAAAUUUGUUGGUUUCUUUGGCUAAUGUAAUGAUUAAAAGGGAC